UGACAAAAUGAGUAAUGUUUCGCAAGAUUUGAAUAGAUGCAAGAGAAAAGAUAGAAUCGCUCUACAUCUUCUUAUAACUGUAUUUGGUAUAUCUACUUGGACCGGUAUCAAUGGAAUAUACGUACAAGUACCAGUACUUAUCAAUACCUCUCCGGAAGGCUGGACUUUGCCAGUUUAUCUAGUAUUAGUAAUACAGGCUGCUAAUAUUGGACCUCUGCUUUAUAUGAUUUUACAAUACCUUCGAUGCAAGAUAAACGAAUCUUGGUGGAUAUUGUGUUUGCUAUUUUCAGGAACUUUUGCAAUGGGACUUUUAACGUUUUUCUAUUCGGAAAGAACUGUUAUUAACGGGACAGAGUAUAGCAUGGUAUUAUUUAUUUUAACAUUUUUCAAUGCCCUGGUAGGAUGUUUCAGUUCCGUAUUAUUUAUGCCAUACCUUCGCAAUUUUAACAAAAAUUAUUUGGUAUCGUUUUUCAUAGGUGAAGGAUUAAGUGGUGUAUUACCAAGUAUAGUUGCUCUGAUACAAGGAGUCGGAGACAAUACAGAGUGCGCAACUGAUAAAAAUCAUACAACAAAUUCCUUUAAAUUAGAUUUGAAAUUCUCUCCGAGCGAUUAUUUUCUUUUUAUUUGUAUUAUUUUAUUCUUAUCUCUAACUGCAUUCGUUAUUUUGGAAUAUUCGUCGUUCGUGCGGAAUGUAAAAAGUUUUAAUAAGCCUGUCGAUUGUAUAGCUAAAGUAGAUUGUACAGAUGAUGUAGAAAAUGUGAAACAUUCUUCGUUAAAACGAAAUAGCAAAGACUUAACAAAACAAAUGCGAUAUUAUCUGUUUAUGUUACUUGCUCUCUGUUGCUUUUUUAGUAAUGGUUUCUUUCCCAGCAUACAAUCUUACUCUUGCUUACCAUAUGGAAACAUAGCGUUCAAACUAUCGGUUACAUUUGCUCAAUUUGCAAAUCCAUUUGUAUGUUUAUUAGCAUACCGGUACAUAAUAUCAAACAUAAAAUUUGUCAAUUAUUUAACUGUAGUAUGUUUGUCAAUUGGAAGUUACGUCACGUAUUUAGCAUUAAUGUCUCCUACUCCACCACUGCAAGACACCAAGCUUGGUGUUUUUUUAGUUGUCAUGUCGUGGACAAGCCUGAUAGGAUUUAUUUCUUAUUUGAAAUUAUCCAUUGUGUCGAUAUUUAGAAGUACAAUGCUUCCCAAGAUACUCUUUAAUGUGGGUGCUGUUAUGCAAAUAGGUUCUGCAAGUGGUGCAAUAUUUUCAUUCGUAGUUAUUAACUUUACAAGCUAUUUUAAUGUCUAUGAUAGUUGUGCUUGAAAAAAAUGAUCAAUAUUGUAAAUACGACAUCUUUGCGCGCUUAUAAACGUUCAAACGUGAAGCCAAGAAUACGUGUACUUUUAUAUUGUCUUUGGUACGAGAACUGAUGAUUGAUAUAAUGCUCCGAAUGAAUCCCGCGUUUGAUUCGUUUGUUUGUGUAAAAAAAUGCAACGAUAACAAAUUAUCAAACAAUUGUCGAAUAAAAGAAAUAACAGAGAUGGACAUAUAUAUUUUAUGCGCGUAGAUAUUUUUGUAGCCGUACACGUAUGUGUGAAUUUACGAGCACACAGUAAUACACAAACAAACAAAAAUGCUGAGUGAAUGUUAUGAAAUUAUUUAUAAUAUAUUGACUGCCUUGUCGAUCGAAGCUGGGUAACGCGUGAUUUUUCGCUCGUUUAUGGAUAAAGAUUUUACUUAUCCGAUUUGUUAAAUAUUAUGAAAACGAUUUGACAGAUUUAUCGAAAACAGAAUUGAAAACACAAAGACGAACACGAACACGAACACGGAAUAGUGCAUCCAAACGCAGUAAAUCGUUCUGUUAAAUUACAUAGGCGAAUGGCAUCCAAAAAACCGCGAAUUCACGCGGGAACUUAGUGUGGCAAUCAAACAUGAUAAAAAAAAGUAUUUGAAGAUAAUGUUAUGCCAUCCCAUUAUGAUUACUAUCUUGCUUUAUCUUAAGUACUGCCUUCCAAUAAAAUGUAUGUACUUAAGAUACGCUUGUUACAUAUUUUGAAUCAUUAUUUCUUCAUAAUGGAAUAUGAUAUCCUACAGUUGUCUGUCCGUUAUAAGAUCAAUUAUUGUGAACUCUACGCGAAGCGUGAUAUCAUUCCAAAUAAAUAUAUAAGAGUUUCGAAAAAUUAAUAUUUUCCGUUAACCAUGAAAUUUUUAAUAAACGUUAUAUCAGCGGGGGAAACUUGUUUAAGAAAUGUAAAACGUACGCGAUAUUUUGUAAAUUUGAAACAAUGUUAUAAAGUGAUCUGUGCUUUAAUUAAACGAUUUAUAGUUUAUUUAGACCACGCUGCAGUUAUUCCUUUAUGAUAAAAUUUUAUCACGAAAUUAAUCGAAUUGAAUCAUCCGAUAGCCGCGUAUUUUUUACAAAAAUGAAUUCGUACAUUGCUCAAAGUGGAUUUACGAAUGCAAAAGUAUUAUUUGUUACUCGUAAACGUAAAUAAAAUCGAUUUAAUUUUGUUGCAACACAGAUUAAGACGUCGUCGUUAUCGAAUACGCAUGCGUGAAAAUGGCGACCUAUUAGUCGCACUAAGACCGAGUACAAGGAUUAAAGUAAUAAACAACGUUAGUGAAACAACACUUGUUACUUUUACUUAUUCUACAUUCUAUCGCCGAAUUGUGAGAAGGUUUGAGAAUAAUAUUGUUUAAAAUCGCAACAUUCGGUAGCGAUUAUUCGUAAAUCAAAAUGUGCGACGACGAACAAUGUUGCACGCAAAUUGGUAAAAAGAAAACGAAUUCUCGAUUUACCCUGUUGGAUCUUCCCGUCGAGAUAUUUCUUCAUAUCUGUUCCUUCAAAGAUUAGAAUUCGUAUUCUAUUGUUUCGAAAAUCGAUUCCGACCGUAUAAACAAUAUUUAGCAUAUUUCAUUCAACUGUCAAAUACGCAAAUGUAUUAAAAUGUAUUUAAUAAACAAUAUUGCGUUCAUUGGAUCGAUGAGCUACGAUAAAGUUGAAAUAGUAACAGGUAGUGUUUCGAAACGUGUGUUGAACCAAAACACGUUUGAUGUAUUUCCUUCAAAUAUGUAGAAUUAAUGGGCAUCUAAGCUUCUAUUUAAAGUUUCAUUCAUUCCUGGUUGCCAGCCCUGACUUGGGAGUUGGUUAUUGUGACAUUGUGAGUCAUGCGCGCUCGUGCAAGGCUGUAACGAGCACGAGGACCAAAACGGUAAAUAAUGUCAGUAAAAAACACCCGUUACUUUUAAUCAUUUUCAUUGUACGGUGAAUCACCAAAGGUUUGAGAGUCAGUCGAAUGAUAUUGUUUAAAACUGUGACGUUCGGUACUGGCUAUUUUAAAUUAAAAUGUGCGAUGACGAACAAAGGAGCGCAGAAACCGAGCAUAAUAAAACGAAUUCUCGAUUAUCCUUGUUGGAUCUUCCAGUCGAGAUGAAGAUGAUGAACUGUUUUGGAAAUUAUCGUGCGUCGCGUUGGAAAGACAAUCUUCUAUAUGGAAGGACGUGGAGUCCAUGGAUAGGAUGUCACUUGGUAGUGUACAGUACAGUACCAUCGAUGGCCUG
This is an RNA transcript of Colletes gigas, 3547 nucleotides long. It is a transcript of the gene named F-box/WD repeat-containing protein 9-like, with no coding region annotated. The record is from RefSeq and is a predicted model, not a curated record. The transcript has 3 exons. Lineage: Eukaryota; Metazoa; Arthropoda; Insecta; Hymenoptera; Colletidae.